AAUAAAAUGCCUGAUUUAAUAGGGCUAUUUUGAUAGAAUAGAAAAUGUAUUUUUGUACUUUUAUUU
RNAcentral lists this transfer RNA (66 nucleotides) under Aphaenomurus interpositus. RNAcentral's name for it is "tRNA-Ile". The record is from RNAcentral. Lineage: Eukaryota; Metazoa; Arthropoda; Collembola; Entomobryomorpha; Tomoceridae.